UACGUAGGGUGCAAGCGUUGUCCGGAAUUAUUGGGCGUAAAGAGCUCGUAGGCGGUCUGUCGCGUCGGCUGUGAAAACCCGGAGCUCAACUCCGGGCCUGCAGUCGAUACGGGCAAACUGGAGUACUGCAGGGGAGACUGGAAUUCCUGGUGUAGCGGUGAAAUGCGCAGAUAUCAGGAGGAACACCGGUGGCGAAGGCGGGUCUCUGGGCAGUAACUGACGCU
This 224-nucleotide ribosomal RNA is filed under the name uncultured bacterium. RNAcentral describes it as "partial 16S ribosomal RNA". It matches the Rfam family "Bacterial small subunit ribosomal RNA", at positions 524 to 747 of the family's 1533-position model. The record is from RNAcentral.